UUGCCCCUCCUGCGCACGCGCCUCCCCCAGCUUGUCCCAGUGCGCAGGCGAAUCGCUCCCACUUCCACGGGUGCGUGCGGUGCUGCCCGCCCGGCGGGCGCCCUGAUUGGCCGGUGUCCGAGCAGGGGCGGGGCUAGCGCCAAACACAAAUGGCUGCGGCCCGCGCGAGCGGUAGCUUGUGCCGGACCCGAAAGAGAGCAGGUGGGGGAGGGCAGAGAGCAGCGGGUUCACCCCCCAGCUCGGCUCGGGGGCGGAGUGGGGGGAGCCCCCCCGGGGGCACCAUGCUGUCCCGGCAGAGCCCCCCCGCCCGCGUGCGCGUCUGCGUCCGCCUGCGCCCCGGCAGCCGGGGGGCCCCCUGCGUGCGCGGCCUGGAUUCCCGCUCCCUGGAGCUCAGCCACUGGCGGGACAGGAGGGUGACUCUGCGGUACCAGUUCGACACCUUCUAUGGCGACCGCGCCACCCAGCAUGACGUCUACACCGGCUCCGUGCAGCCUGUCCUGGGCCACCUGCUGGAGGGGCAGAACGCCAGCGUGCUGGCCUAUGGGCCCACCGGGGCUGGUAAGACGUACACCAUGCUGGGCAGCCCAGAACAGCCAGGUGUGAUCCCACGGGCGCUGCGGGAUGUCCUGCAGAUGACACGGGAGGCGAGCUGCUCACCCGGGGCUGAGGAGUGGGACUUCUCCGUCUCCAUGUCCUACCUGGAGAUCUACCAGGAGAAGGUGCUGGACCUGCUGGAGCCGUCCCAGCAGGACCUGCCAAUCCGGGAGGACCGGGACCGGAACAUCCUGAUCCCGGGGCUGACUGAGCGGGAGCUCAGAGGCUUCGGGGACUUCGAGCGGCACUUCCUGCCGGCCAGCCGCAACCGCACGGUAGCCUCCACUCAGCUCAACAACCGCUCGAGCCGCAGCCACGCCGUGCUGCUGGUGCGGGUGGCACGGAGCCAGCGGGCGCCCCCUCACCGCCACCACGUGGCCAAGCUCUGCCUCAUCGACCUGGCUGGCUCCGAGGACAACCGGCGCACUGGCAACCGCGGCCUGCGGCUCAAGGAGAGCGGAGCCAUCAACGCCUCCCUGCAUGUGCUCAGCAAGGUGGUGGAUGCCCUCAACCAGGGGCUGCCCCGCGUGCCGUACCGUGACAGCAAGCUCACCCGCCUGCUGCAGGACUCCCUGGGGGGCUCGGCUCACAGCGUGAUCAUUGCAAAUGUCGCCCCGGAGCAACACUUUUACUUUGACACGCUGAGCACGCUGAACUUUGCUGCCAAGUCCAAGCAGGUGGUGAACCGGCCCUUCACCCAGGAGACGCUGCAGGCCCCAGCUGCACGCAAGAGACCUCGCGAGGACCCUGGAGCUGGCAGUGAGGAUGCUGGCCCCGGAGCCAAGAGCCCUCCCGAGGAGGAGCCCCCCGAGGCCGAGCCGCUCAGCUCCCUGCUGCCCCUGGAGCAGCUGGACCCAAGGCUGGUGCAGCGGCUGCUGGUGCUGGAGCAGCUGGAGAAGCAGCAGGGGGGGGCCGGGCGGAGGCUGCCACUGCUCAGCACCCCCCGGCGGGAGCGGGUGGCCGUGCUGCGCCAGCUGGAGGAGACGCGCCGCGAGCUGCAGAAGCUGAAGGAGAGGCAGAAGGAGUGGGAAGCCGGGGCGCUGCUGGACAAGGCCUGUCAGCCCAAGCCUCUGCCCCACAGCGAGGCCCCCGCCGCGGCCCAGAACCAGACUGUGGUUCUCCCGCUGCAGCAAGAGCCGGGACGGAACCCAGGAGUCCUGGCUCCUACCCUGCUAACCCUGCCCCCUGCUCUGCAGUGGAGACCCCCGUUGGGCAGCAGGCCCUGCCCAGUGGAGCCGAAGGGAUCCUGGUCAUACAAAGGAAGCAGGGCCAGGCGGCCGCGGGGGCCGAGAACCGGGCCCCGGGCUGGGAGCUGGUGCCGCGCCCCGACCUGCUGGCGCGGAGCCGCGAGAACCUGCUGGCGCGGCUCAACCGGGGCGAUGCCAAGGAGCUGCAGGCCCUGCGCCACAUCGGGGGGAUGAGAGCCCAGCGCAUCCUGGCCUGGAGACAGCAGCACGGGCCCUUCAGCCAGCUGGGGGACCUGCAGCAGGUGGAGGGGAUGACAGCCCGGCACGUGGCCUCUUUCCUGAAAGCAAACCUGCUGCGCGCCCUGGGCUGCGACCCGCCCCCGCCCCCCGCUCAAUAAAAGUCUCUGUGUCCGUCA
Mauremys reevesii (Reeves's turtle) is the source of this 2197-nucleotide RNA transcript. It is a transcript of the gene named kinesin family member 22, with no coding region annotated. The transcript is spliced from 12 exons. Lineage: Eukaryota; Metazoa; Chordata; Testudines; Geoemydidae. The record is from RefSeq and is a predicted model, not a curated record.